Molecule: ribosomal RNA, 347 nt
Filed under: Staphylococcus aureus
Lineage: Bacteria; Bacillati; Bacillota; Bacilli; Caryophanales; Staphylococcaceae
Description: bacterial SSU rRNA
Rfam family: Bacterial small subunit ribosomal RNA
Source: RNAcentral
UUUAUGGAGAGUUUGAUCCUGGCUCAGGAUGAACGCUGGCGGCGUGCCUAAUACAUGCAAGUCGAGCGAACGGACGAGAAGCUUGCUUCUCUGAUGUUAGCGGCGGACGGGUGAGUAACACGUGGAUAACCUACCUAUAAGACUGGGAUAACUUCGGGAAACCGGAGCUAAUACCGGAUGAUAUUUUGAACCGCAUGGUUCAAAAGUGAAAGACGGUCUUGCUGUCACUUAUAGAUGGAUCCGCGCUGCAUUAGCUAGUUGGUAAGGUAACGGCUUACCAAGGCAACGAUGCAUAGCCGACCUGAGAGGGUGAUCGGCCACACUGGAACUGAGACACGGUCCAGACU